RNAcentral lists this ribosomal RNA (497 nucleotides) under uncultured bacterium. Its description in RNAcentral is "partial 16S ribosomal RNA". It matches the Rfam family "Bacterial small subunit ribosomal RNA", at positions 28 to 507 of the family's 1533-position model. The record is from RNAcentral.
GAUGAACGCUGGCGGCGUGCCUAAUACAUGCAAGUCGAGCGAACAGACGAGGAGCUUGCUCCUCUGACGUUAGCGGCGGACGGGUGAGUAACACGUGGAUAACCUACCUAUAAGACUUGGAUAACUUCGGGAAACCGGUGCUACUACCGGCUAAUAUAUCCUACCGCAUGGUUCAAUAGUGCAUGACGGUUUUGCUGUUACUAAUAGAUGAAUCCGCGCCGCAUUAGCUAGUUGGUAAGGUAACGGCUUACCAAGGCGACGAUGCGUAGCCGACCUGAGAGGAUGAUCGGCCACACUGGAACUGAGACACGGUCCAGACUCCUACGGGAGGCAGCAGUAGGGAAUCUUCCGCAAUGGGCGAAAGCCUGACGGAGCAACGCCGCGUGAGUGAUGAAGGUCUUCGGAUCGUAAAACUCUGUUAUUAGGGAAGAACAAAUGUGUAAGUAACUAUGCACGUCUUGACGGUACCUAAUCAGAAAGCCACGGCUAACUACGUG